RNAcentral lists this ribosomal RNA (108 nucleotides) under Olea europaea subsp. europaea. RNAcentral's name for it is "PK-G12rRNA". It matches the Rfam family "Bacterial large subunit ribosomal RNA", at positions 2309 to 2416 of the family's 2925-position model. The record is from RNAcentral. Lineage: Eukaryota; Viridiplantae; Streptophyta; Magnoliopsida; Lamiales; Oleaceae.
UGCAAAGGUUUCCUCGGACCGGACGAAGAUUGGCCCUUGAGUGCAAAGGUAGAAGGGAGCUUGAUUGCAAGACCCACCCGUCAAGUAGGGACGAAAGUCAGCCUUUGU